UACGGAGGGGGCUAGCGUUGUUCGGAAUUACUGGGCGUAAAGCGCACGUAGGCGGCUUUGUAAGUUAGAGGUGAAAGCCCAGGGCUCAACCCUGGAAUUGCCUUUGAGACUGCAUCGCUAGAAUUGUGGAGAGGUAAGUGGAAUUCCGAGUGUAGAGGUGAAAUUCGUAGAUAUUCGGAAGAACACCAGUGGCGAAGGCGACUUACUGGACACAUAUUGACGCUGAGGUGCGAAAGCGUGGGGAGCAAACAGG
This 253-nucleotide ribosomal RNA is filed under the name uncultured bacterium. Its description in RNAcentral is "partial 16S ribosomal RNA". It matches the Rfam family "Bacterial small subunit ribosomal RNA", at positions 524 to 776 of the family's 1533-position model. The record is from RNAcentral.